GUCCACGCCGUAACGAUGUCAACUAGCCGUUGGAGCCUUGAGCUCUUAGUGGCGCAGCUAACGCAUUAAGUUGACCGCCUGGGAGUACGGCCGCAAGGUUAACUCAAUGAAUUGACGGGCCCGCACAAGCGGUGGAGCAUGUGGUUUAAUUCGAAGCAACGCGAAGAACCUUACCAGGCCUUGACAUCCAAUGAACUUUCUAGAGAUAGAUUGGUGCCUUCGGGAACAUUGAGACAGGUGCUGCAUGGCUGUCGU
RNAcentral lists this ribosomal RNA (255 nucleotides) under uncultured bacterium. Its description in RNAcentral is "partial 16S ribosomal RNA". It matches the Rfam family "Bacterial small subunit ribosomal RNA", at positions 793 to 1055 of the family's 1533-position model. The record is from RNAcentral.